Molecule: transfer RNA, 72 nt
Filed under: Ictidomys tridecemlineatus (thirteen-lined ground squirrel)
Lineage: Eukaryota; Metazoa; Chordata; Mammalia; Rodentia; Sciuridae
Description: Spermophilus tridecemlineatus (thirteen-lined ground squirrel) tRNA
Rfam family: tRNA
About the family: Transfer RNA (tRNA) molecules are approximately 80 nucleotides in length. Their secondary structure includes four short double-helical elements and three loops (D, anti-codon, and T loops).
Source: Rfam by way of RNAcentral
GGGGAUGUAGCUCAAUGGUAGAGUGCUUGCCUAGCAUGUGUGAAGUUCUGGGUUCAAUACCCAGCACUGCAA